GCCAGUAUUUGCAGAAACAAUUGUUGUCAGUUCGGUCGAUUUUUGUGGGGGUGCGCACGUUUAGGAGGUUAUGAAAGGGCUUUUUGUAAUGCACUAACUGAUACAUGCAGCGCGCAAAAAUAAUUCUACAUAAAAUUCCCAAAUGUUUUUAUUCAUAUGUACAUAUUCAUUUCAUAAAGAUGAAAGUCUUUGACCUUA
Molecule: long non-coding RNA, 198 nt
Organism: Magallana angulata
Lineage: Eukaryota; Metazoa; Mollusca; Bivalvia; Ostreida; Ostreidae
Exons: 2
Source: RefSeq, a predicted model, not a curated record